This 253-nucleotide ribosomal RNA is filed under the name uncultured bacterium. Its description in RNAcentral is "partial 16S ribosomal RNA". It matches the Rfam family "Bacterial small subunit ribosomal RNA", at positions 524 to 776 of the family's 1533-position model. The record is from RNAcentral.
UACGUAGGGUCCGAGCGUUGUCCGGAAUUACUGGGCGUAAAGCGUGCGCAGGCGGUUUUGUAAGUCUGUCGUGAAAUCCCCGGGCUCAACCUGGGAAUUGCGAUGGAGACUGCAAGGCUAGAAUCUGGCAGAGGGGGGUAGAAUUCCACGUGUAGCAGUGAAAUGCGUAGAUAUCAGGAGGAACACCUGUGGUGUAGACAGCUUACUGGACCAUUUCUGACGCUGAGACACGAAAGCGUGGGGAGCGAACAGG